UUGACCUCGGAUCAGGUAGGGAUACCCGCUGAACUUAAGCAUAUCAAUAAGCGGAGGAAAAGAAACCAACUGGGAUUGCCUUAGUAACGGCGAGUGAAGCGGCAAUAGCUCAAAUUUGAAAGCUGGCGCCUUUGGCGUCCGCGUUGUAAUUUGUAGAGGAUGCUUCGGCGAGGACUCCUGCCUAAGUUCCCUGGAAUGGGACGUCGCAGAGGGUGAGAAUCCCGUAUGUGGCGGGCGGUCCAAGCCAUGUGAAGCUCCUUCGACGAGUCGAGUUGUUUGGGAAUGCAGCUCUAAAUGGGAGGUAAAUUUCUUCUAAAGCUAAAUAUUGGCCAGAGACCGAUAGCGCACAAGUAGAGUGAUCGAAAGAUGAAAAGCACUUUGGAAAGAGAGUUAAAAAGUACGUGAAAUUGUUGAAAGGGAAGCGCUUGCAACCAGACUCGCCCGCAGUUGCUCAGCCUGCCUCCUGGCGGGUGUACUCUUCUGCGGUCGGGCCAGCAUCAGUUCGGGCGGCUGGAUAAAGGUGUCGGGAAUGUAGCACCCUUUGGGGUGUGUUAUAGCCCGGCGCGGAAUGCAGCCAGCCUGGACUGAGGAUCUCGCUUCGGCAAGGAUGCUGGCGUAAUGGUUGUAAGCGGCCCGUCU
RNAcentral lists this ribosomal RNA (639 nucleotides) under Phyllosticta aspidistricola. RNAcentral's name for it is "eukaryotic LSU rRNA". It matches the Rfam family "Eukaryotic large subunit ribosomal RNA", at positions 1 to 654 of the family's 3401-position model. Lineage: Eukaryota; Fungi; Ascomycota; Dothideomycetes; Botryosphaeriales; Phyllostictaceae. The record is from RNAcentral.